RNA transcript from Otolemur garnettii (small-eared galago), 1033 nucleotides. It is a transcript of the gene named nuclear distribution protein nudE homolog 1 pseudogene, with no coding region annotated. The record is from RefSeq and is a predicted model, not a curated record. The transcript has a single exon. Lineage: Eukaryota; Metazoa; Chordata; Mammalia; Primates; Galagidae.
AGCCUAGUCCUCGCUGCCCUAGCCCGACACCAUGCCGCGAGAAGAGUGAUCAAUCUCUUCCCUUGUUUUCAUGAUGGAAGACUCGGGAAAGACCUUCAGCUCUGAGGAGGAAGAAGCUAACUAUUGGAAAGAUCUGGCAAUGACCUACAAGCAGAGGGCAGAGAAUACGCAAGAGGAACUCCGUGAAUUCCAGGAGGGAAGCCGAGAAUAUGAAGCUGAAUUGGAGACACAGCUGCAACAAAUCGAAACCAGGAACAGAGACCUCCUGUCAGAAAAUAACCGCCUUCGCAUGGAGCUGGAAACUAUCAAGGAGAAGUUGGAAAUGCAGCAUUCCGAAGGCUACCGGCAGAUCUCAGCCUUGGAGGACGAUCUUGCACAGACCAAAGCCAUCAAAGACCAAUUGCAGAAAUACAUCAGAGAGCUGGAGCAAGCCAAUGACGACUUGGAAGGAGCCAAGCGAGCCACGAUCAUGUCUCUGGAAGACUUUGAGCAGCGCUUGAAUCAAGCCAUUGAAAGAAAUGCCUUCCUGGAAAGUGAACUUGACGAGAAGGAGAAUCUCCUUGAAUCCGUUCAGAGACUGAAGGAUGAAGCCAGAGAUUUGCGCCAGGAAUUGGCCGUACAACAGAAGCAGGAGAAACCCAGGACGCCCUUGCCCAGCUCAGUGGAAGCUGAAAGAACAGACAUAGCUGUGCAGGCCACUGGCUCCAUACCCUCCACUCCCAUCACUCAUCGAGCACCCAGCUCCAGUUUAAACACACCAGGGACCUUCAGACGUGGCCUGGACGACUCCAUGGGAGGGACCCCCCUCACACCUGCAGCCCGGAUAUCAGCCCUCAACAUUGUGGGAGACCUGCUGCGGAAAGUGGGGGCACUGGAGUCCAAGCUUGCAUCCUGCUGGAACUUCGUGUAUGAUCAGUCCCCAAACCGAACAGGUGGCCCAGCCUCAGGGCGGGCGAACAAGAACAGGGACAGCGGUGACAGACGGCCAAACAGCACCAGUGUGCCUUUGGGGGAUAAAGGGAGAGAAAAUUGA